CAUGCAAGUCGAGGGGCAGCAUGGUCUUAGCUUGCUAAGACUGAUGGCGACCGGCGCACGGGUGCGUAACGCGUAUGCAACUUGCCUCACAGAGGGGGAUAACCCGUCGAAAGACGGACUAAUACCGCGUACACUCCACUUUGGGCAUCCAAAGUAGAGGAAAUGAAUUUCGCUGUGAGAUAGGCAUGCGUCCCAUUAGCUAGUUGGUGAGGUAACGGCUCACCAAGGCAACGAUGGGUAGGGGAACUGAGAGGUUGAACCCCCACACUGGUACUGAGACACGGACCAGACUCCUACGGGAGGCAGCAGUGAGGAAUAUUGGUCAAUGGGCGGGAGCCUGAACCAGCCAAGUCGCGUGAAGGAUGACUGUCUUAUGGAUUGUAAACUUCUUUUAUACGGGAAUAACAAGAGUCACGUGUGGCUCCCUGCAUGUACCGUAUGAAUAAGCAUCGGCUAACUCCGUGCCAGCAGCCGCGGUAAUACGGAGGAUGCGAGCGUUAUCCGGAUUUAUUGGGUUUAAAGGGUGCGUAGGCGGCCUGUUAAGUCAGCGGUGAAAUCUAGGAGCUUAACUCCUAAAUUGCCAUUGAUACUGGCGGGCUUGAGUGUAGAUGAGGUAGGCGGAAUGCGUGGUGUAGCGGUGGAAUGCAUAGAUAUCACGCAGAACUCCGAUUGCGAAGGCAGCUUACUAAGGUACAACUGACGCUGAAGCACGAAAGCGUGGGUAUCAAACAGGAUUAGAUACCCUGGUAGUCCACGCAGUAAACGAUGAUAACUGGGCGUAUGCGAUAUACAGUAUGCUCCUAAGCGA
Molecule: ribosomal RNA, 808 nt
Filed under: uncultured Bacteroidota bacterium
Lineage: Bacteria; Pseudomonadati; Bacteroidota
Description: bacterial SSU rRNA
Rfam family: Bacterial small subunit ribosomal RNA
Source: RNAcentral